CCUACGGGAGGCAGCAGUGGGGAAUAUUGGACAAUGGGCGAAAGCCUGAUCCAGCCAUGCCGCGUGUGUGAAGAAGGCCUUCGGGUUGUAAAGCACUUUCAGUGGGGAAGAAAGCCUUGGGGCUAAUACCCUCGAGGAAGGACAUCACCCACAGAAGAAGCACCGGCUAACUCCGUGCCAGCAGCCGCGGUAAUACGGAGGGUGCGAGCGUUAAUCGGAAUUACUGGGCGUAAAGCGCGCGUAGGCGGUCUGAUAAGCCGGUUGUGAAAGCCCCGGGCUCAACCUGGGAACGGCAUCCGGAACUGUCAGGCUAGAGUGCAGUAGAGGAAGGUAGAAUUCCCGGUGUAGCGGUGAAAUGCGUAGAGAUCGGGAGGAAUACCAGUGGCGAAGGCGGCCUUCUGGACUGACACUGACGCUGAGGUGCGAAAGCGUGGGUAGCAAACAGGAUUAGAUACCCCGGUAGUC
Molecule: ribosomal RNA, 465 nt
Filed under: Vreelandella stevensii
Lineage: Bacteria; Pseudomonadati; Pseudomonadota; Gammaproteobacteria; Oceanospirillales; Halomonadaceae
Description: partial 16S ribosomal RNA
Rfam family: Bacterial small subunit ribosomal RNA
Source: RNAcentral